UUCCGGUUGAUCCUGCCAGACCCGACUGCUAUCAGAGUAGGACUAAGCCAUGCGAGUUAACGUAGCAAUACGUGGCAUACGGCUCAGUAACACGUAGUCAACAUGCCCAGGGGACGUGAAUAACCUCGGGAAACUGAGGAUAAACCGCGAUAGGUCACGAUUUCUGGAAUGAUUCAUGGCCGAAAUCUAUAUGGCCCCUGGAUUGGACUGCGGCCGAUCAGGCUGUUGGUGAGGUAAUGGCCUACCAAACCUGUUACCGGUACGGGCUCUGAGAGGAGGAGCCCGGAGAUGGGCACUGAGACAAGGGCCCAGGCCCUAUGGGGCGCAGCAGGCGCGAAACCUCUGCAAUGGGCGAAAGCCUGACAGGGUUACUCUGAGUGGUUUCCGCUAAGGGAACCUUUUGGCACCUCU
This 411-nucleotide ribosomal RNA is filed under the name uncultured archaeon. RNAcentral's name for it is "bacterial SSU rRNA". It matches the Rfam family "Archaeal small subunit ribosomal RNA", at positions 1 to 420 of the family's 1478-position model. The record is from RNAcentral.